CCUACGGGUGGCUGCAGUGGGGAAUAUUGGACAAUGGGCGAAAGCCUGAUCCAGCCAUGCCGCGUGUGUGAAGAAGGCCUUCGGGUUGUAAAGCACUUUCAGUGGGGAAGAAAGCCUUGGGGCUAAUACCCUCGAGGAAGGACAUCACCCACAGAAGAAGCACCGGCUAACUCCGUGCCAGCAGCCGCGGUAAUACGGAGGGUGCGAGCGUUAUCGGAAUUACUGGGCGUAAAGCGCGCGUAGGCGGUCUGAUAAGCCGGUUGUGAAAGCCCCGGGCUCAACCUGGGAACGGCAUCCGGAACUGUCAGGCUAGAGUGCAGGAGAGGAAGGUAGAAUUCCCGGUGUAGCGGUGAAAUGCGUAGAGAUCGGGAGGAAUACCAGUGGCGAAGGCGGCCUUCUGGACUGACACUGACGCUGAGGUGCGAAAGCGUGGGUAGCAAACAGGAUUAGAUACCCUUGUAGUC
Molecule: ribosomal RNA, 464 nt
Filed under: Vreelandella stevensii
Lineage: Bacteria; Pseudomonadati; Pseudomonadota; Gammaproteobacteria; Oceanospirillales; Halomonadaceae
Description: partial 16S ribosomal RNA
Rfam family: Bacterial small subunit ribosomal RNA
Source: RNAcentral